GGAAGUAAAAGUCGUAACAAGGUUUCCGUAGGUGAACCUGCGGAAGGAUCAUUAUUGAAUUUUCUGAGGGAGGGAGGGGAAAAGAUUGGGCAAGGGCCCCCCAGACUGUCGCUGGCCCUCUCGGGCAUGUUGCACGUCUUCCUUGUCGUCGGUUGACCUCUCUCUCACUCUCUCAUAACACACCUGUGCACCUCUUGUAGAUCCUCGAAAGAGGACCUAUGUCUUUCACAUCCACAUCCAUUGUAUGUCCAUAGAAUGUAUUAAAGGACGUCGGACCUGUCUUAGCAGGCUGGCGCUCGCAUAUAUAUGUAAAUCAUACAACUUUCAGCAACGGAUCUCUUGGCUCUCGCAUCGAUGAAGAACGCAGCGAAUUGCGAUAAGUAAUGUGAAUUGCAGAUUUUCAGUGAAUCAUCGAAUCUUUGAACGCACCUUGCGCUCCUUGGUAUUCCAAGGAGCAUGCCUGUUUGAGUGUCAUCGAAUUCUCAACCAUGUCUUGAUCAUUUUUGAGCCAUGGCUUGGACUUGGGGGUUUGCUGGCAGCGAAAUGCUGUCGGCUCUCCUGAAAUACAUUAGCAAGUGGGCGCCGCAAGUCUGACGUGGCAUGGCCUUCGACGUGACAAUGAUCGUCGUGGGCUUGGAGCGUCGCACAUGCAUCUGUCGUCCUUGCUUCCAAUCUGACCUACAUAAGUCUUUUGACCUCAAAUCAGGUAGGACUAC
Molecule: ribosomal RNA, 716 nt
Rfam family: 5.8S ribosomal RNA (bases 320-474)